UACGGAGGGUGCGAGCGUUAAUCGGAAUUACUGGGCGUAAAGCGUGCGCAGGCGGUUUGUUAAGCCAGAUGUGAAAGCCCCGGGCUCAACCUGGGAACCGCAUUUCGAACUGGCAGACUAGAGUCUUGUAGAGGGGGGUAGAAUUCCAGGUGUAGCGGUGAAAUGCGUAGAGAUGUGGAGGAAUACCGGUGGCGAAGGCGGCCCCCUGGACAAAGACUGACGCUCAGGCACGAAAGCGUGGGGAGCAAACAGG
RNAcentral lists this ribosomal RNA (253 nucleotides) under uncultured microorganism. RNAcentral describes it as "partial 16S ribosomal RNA". It matches the Rfam family "Bacterial small subunit ribosomal RNA", at positions 524 to 776 of the family's 1533-position model. The record is from RNAcentral.